AGAGUUUGAUCCUGGCUCAGGACGAACGCUGGCGGCGUGCUUAACACAUGCAAGUCGAACGGGGCGAUUUGAAAGCUUGCUUUUGAUGAGCCUAGUGGCAAACGGGUGAGUAACGCGUAGGCAACCUGCCCUCAGGAUGGGGACAACGGCCCGAAAGGACCGCUAAUACCGAAUGACGUAUCGGGAUCGCAUGAUACUGAUACCAAAGGCGGAGCAAUCCGUCACCUGAGGAUGGGCCUGCGUCUGAUUAGGUAGUUGGUGAGGUAACGGCCCACCAAGCCGACGAUCAGUAGCCGGUCUGAGAGGAUGAACGGCCACAUUGGGACUGAGACACGGCCCAGACUCCUACGGGAGGCAGCAGUGGGGAAUCUUCCGCAAUGGGCGAAAGCCUGACGGAGCAACGCCGCGUGAGUGAAGAAGGUCUUCGGAUCGUAAAGCUCUGUUGUCGGGGACGAAGGGGCAGAUCAGGAAAUGGGUCUGCUUAGACGGUACCUGACGAGGAAGCCACGGCUAACUACGUGCCAGCAGCCGCGGUAAUACGUAUGUGGCAAGCGUUGUCCGGAAUCAUUGGGCGUAAAGGGAGCGCAGGUGGGACGGUAAGUCUUUCUUAAAAGUGCGGGGCUCACCCCCGUGAGGGGAAAGAAACUAUCGUUCUUGAGUGCAGGAGAGGAAAGCGGAAUUCCUAGUGUAGCGGUGAAAUGCGUAGAUAUUAGGAAGAACACCAGUGGCGAAGGCGGCUUUCUGGACUGUAACUGACACUG
This 761-nucleotide ribosomal RNA is filed under the name uncultured bacterium. RNAcentral's name for it is "bacterial SSU rRNA". It matches the Rfam family "Bacterial small subunit ribosomal RNA", at positions 8 to 748 of the family's 1533-position model. The record is from RNAcentral.